GAGUUUGAUCUUGGCUCAGAUUGAACGCUGGCGGCAUGCCUUACACAUGCAAGUCGAACGGCAGCACGGGAGCUUGCUCCUGGUGGCGAGUGGCGAACGGGUGAGUAAUGCAUCGGAACGUAUCCUGGAGUGGGGGAUAACGUAGCGAAAGUUACGCUAAUACCGCAUAUUCUGUGAGCAGGAAAGCGGGGGACCUUCGGGCCUCGCGCUCUUGGAGCGGCCGAUGUCGGAUUAGCUAGUUGUGAGUAAAGGCUCACCGAGGCGACGAUCCGUAGCAGGUCUGAGAGGAUGAUCU
RNAcentral lists this ribosomal RNA (295 nucleotides) under bacterium enrichment culture clone ALO1_GLFRUDD03HHPZ7. RNAcentral describes it as "partial 16S ribosomal RNA". It matches the Rfam family "Bacterial small subunit ribosomal RNA", at positions 9 to 306 of the family's 1533-position model. The record is from RNAcentral.